GGACCUCUACACUGGCCCGAGUCACUGUGCGGGGGAGGGGGGAGAAACACAGAACAGUCAGUGACGCGCACUGUCCCCCUCCCCCACACCCACCCGCUCUUUCCGCCCCCCACCCCAGCCACCCUAGCAGGGCACCCGAACCGCUCAGGCUGAACUUAGUUCCACACUCCUCGGGGGCAGCCCGGAAGCCGGCUCCCCGGCAGGCGCCCCCACGGAGCGAGGGAGCGACGCCUCCGAGGAGUACCUAGCAAGGCCGAGCUCCGCACCAUGGAGAAUCAAGGAAGACCAGGGGGCCUCCCUUCAAAAAGCAUAAGCAACCAAGCAAACUAUGAUACACGACAGAAUGGUGCCAAGGGAGAACUGCUGAGCACUGUUUCCCAAUUUCCUGUUACAGAAAAUAAAAUCCCACUGGUUCCAAGAGAGAACAUAUCCCAAUAAGAUUUAUCGUGGUCCUUCUAGAGGCUGGAAGAUGAUACUUAAAGGAUUUAUGGUUCUGGAGCCUUUGGGAUUCCCCAAACCCUGAGUGAGAAAGUUCACCUUCCAGGACUUUCCGUGCUCCUCUGGCAAGGACAACAUGGGCAAAGUGCUAAGAUUUUGGACUACGAGGUUUGGCGCUGCCAGUGCUCUCAGGACAGGAAGGGCACAGGUCUUGAACCCUGAAGAUGAAGAGAGAUGGAGCAGGUGCUAAUCACCAGGCCUCUUCCAGAGCGGCUGGAGGACUCUGCCUUUGUAUGUGGUGUUUCUUCAACUUGGAAUGCCCUGCCUCCCGUUCUCCAACUGGCAAGCCUAGUAUUUUCUCAGGACUCUGCAAAGCCUUCCCUAACCGCCCCCGCAACACAAGGCGGAUGUGGUACCCUCACUUGUGCCUCCGCAACAGUGCGCAGGUUUAUCAGAGCUCUCCCCAUGCAUGGUAGUCAGCUGUUCCUGGUCUGCCCCUCCCAUUAGACUGUGAACUCUUAGAGGGAGGGGCUGUGGACCAUGGCUUAUUCAUCUUUGUGUAUUCUCAGCACCUACCUCUGUAAAUGUUAAAAAUAAUAGGUAUCAUUUACUGAUCAUCACCAUAUUUUAAUUUCUAUACAUAAUAUCUAACAUAGAUACAUUAUUUCACUUCCUCAUUGUCCAACUGAAAUGUAUAAAGUGGGUUAUUUGAAGUGGGUUAUUAAAAAUAACCACUUCCAAAAGUGGUGACAUAAACUCAUCUUUCACACAUACACAUAAAUAUGCCUCCUUGAAUCACUUGAACCCAAGAGGCGGAGGUUGCAG
RNAcentral lists this long non-coding RNA (1263 nucleotides) under Homo sapiens (human). RNAcentral's name for it is "HSALNT0366442". Lineage: Eukaryota; Metazoa; Chordata; Mammalia; Primates; Hominidae. The record is from RNAcentral.